GUUUGUUUACUUGAUAUGUUCUUUCAAUUUUAUCCUCACCCAGUGAUCCACAUCUUAAAAGCACAAACUACUCUGUUCAGAUGGAAUAUCUUUGAUAGUGUUGUUGCAGACUUGAAGGUAUAUGCAUCAGGAGGUCAAGGUGGCAGUGGCACCGUAACAGUAUUUAUUUGAAACUACACGCGAGGAAAAGGUCAGUAACAAAAAAAGGAAGCUCACUGAGCACGUCAAUACAGAUUACCUGACGAAAGCCCAGGCGAUGAAUAGGAUAAUCAAGUUGAGAUCCCACCGAGGACGUAUAAUGGCUGAAUGAACUUCUGAUCCACGCUUUGGCAAUCCCGUGCCUCCAGGUGUGUAGGUUCAAAAGAUAAAUGGAUGAUUAUAUGGGCGCGUGGCAAAUAUACUGAUGAUGAUGAUGAUGAU
Triticum urartu is the source of this 420-nucleotide non-coding RNA. The record is from RefSeq and is a predicted model, not a curated record. NCBI's taxonomy places the organism in Eukaryota, Viridiplantae, Streptophyta, Magnoliopsida, Poales, Poaceae.